RNAcentral lists this ribosomal RNA (595 nucleotides) under Leucobacter sp. RNAcentral's name for it is "bacterial SSU rRNA". It matches the Rfam family "Bacterial small subunit ribosomal RNA", at positions 216 to 823 of the family's 1533-position model. Lineage: Bacteria; Bacillati; Actinomycetota; Actinomycetes; Micrococcales; Microbacteriaceae. The record is from RNAcentral.
CGGUUGGGGAUGGACUCGCGGCCUAUCAGCUAGUUGGUGAGGUAAUGGCUCACCAAGGCGACGACGGGUAGCCGGCCUGAGAGGGUGACCGGCCACACUGGGACUGAGACACGGCCCAGACUCCUACGGGAGGCAGCAGUGGGGAAUAUUGCACAAUGGGCGCAAGCCUGAUGCAGCAACGCCGCGUGAGGGAUGACGGCCUUCGGGUUGUAAACCUCUUUUAGUAGGGAAGAAGCGCAAGUGACGGUACCUGCAGAAAAAGCACCGGCUAACUACGUGCCAGCAGCCGCGGUAAUACGUAGGGUGCAAGCGUUGUCCGGAAUUAUUGGGCGUAAAGAGCUCGUAGGCGGCUUGUCGCGUCUGCUGUGAAAACCCGAGGCUCAACCUCGGGCUUGCAGUGGGUACGGGCAGGCUAGAGUGUGGUAGGGGAGAUUGGAAUUCCUGGUGUAGCGGUGGAAUGCGCAGAUAUCAGGAGGAACACCGAUGGCGAAGGCAGAUCUCUGGGCCACUACUGACGCUGAGGAGCGAAAGCAUGGGGAGCGAACAGGAUUAGAUACCCUGGUAGUCCAUGCCGUAAACGUUGGGAACUAGAUGU